Long non-coding RNA from Raphanus sativus (radish), 778 nucleotides. RefSeq lists it as uncharacterized. NCBI's taxonomy places the organism in Eukaryota, Viridiplantae, Streptophyta, Magnoliopsida, Brassicales, Brassicaceae. The transcript has 4 exons. The record is from RefSeq and is a predicted model, not a curated record.
UUAAACGGGGUCUCUUUUUUUUUCAUCUCUACCUGAUGGGAAAUCGAAAAGUUGCUUUUUUAUUAGUUUCACAUUUUACCUAGCCGACAGUUACCGAUCGAGUGAUUCCGGACUAGAUCUGACGGCAAGGCUUAUAAGGCAAGAGACAAGACCACAUCACAACAACGUGACGGAAACGGGCGGGUAAGGAAGUUGCUGGAGUUGAGUCUUCUUGCCGUUUAGGCGUCAGUGCUUGGGUUUUGGCUUAGUUGUUAGAGGAGGUUCUUCCUGUUGAAGGUGCGAAUGAGAUUUGACAACGGAUUGUUCAAGUCGUGAGUGGUAGCCAUGGCGGUGGAUGGAAGGGUCGACGGAGAAGACGAUAACGGCUGCGGCGCGACUUUGUGCGUAUCAGAUCUCGUUGGAUGUCUUAGAAGACACUCAGCGUCAAAAGCGAAGUUGCCAAAGCUCAGAUUUGGGAUACUGCUGGUCAAGAGAGAUAUUGAGCAAUCUCAAAGAGAUGUAGGUGUUUUACUUGUGUACGAAGUGAAAAGGCACUCAAUGUAGAAUGCAGCGACGAUGGCUAAGGGAACAAAGGGGACAAGCUGUGUAUUUUUUUGCUAAAGGCUAAUAAAAUAGUUAGCUACAUUUGACUCAUGUGUACAACAAAAAAAACAGUAUACAUGUGUACAACAAAAAACAAUAUCUAUGUGUACAACAAAAGAGGAUAUCCAUGUGUACACACUUCUUUCAUGUACAUGUUUUGAUGAGACCACUUGUACAUCCAUUGAUUUUUUUUUUU